This is a small nuclear RNA of Suncus etruscus (white-toothed pygmy shrew), 103 nucleotides long. The record is from RefSeq and is a predicted model, not a curated record. NCBI's taxonomy places the organism in Eukaryota, Metazoa, Chordata, Mammalia, Eulipotyphla, Soricidae.
UUGCUUUGGCAGCAUAUAUACUAAAACAGGAACAAUACAGAGAAGAUUAGAAUGAUACCUGCAUGAGGAUGACAUGCAAAUACAUGAAGAAACAAACAAAGAU